RNAcentral lists this ribosomal RNA (593 nucleotides) under Trichoderma sp. ZF-2. Its description in RNAcentral is "eukaryotic LSU rRNA". The stretch from base 211 to 364 matches the Rfam family "5.8S ribosomal RNA". The record is from RNAcentral. Lineage: Eukaryota; Fungi; Ascomycota; Sordariomycetes; Hypocreales; Hypocreaceae.
UGUAUGGCGACGCGGAGGGACAUUACCGAGUUUACAACUCCCAAACCCAAUGUGAACCAUACCAAACUGUUGCCUCGGCGGGGUCACGCCCCGGGUGCGUCGCAGCCCCGGAACCAGGCGCCCGCCGGAGGGACCAACCAAACUCUUUUCUGUAGUCCCCUCGCGGACGUUAUUUCUUACAGCUCUGAGCAAAAAUUCAAAAUGAAUCAAAACUUUCAACAACGGAUCUCUUGGUUCUGGCAUCGAUGAAGAACGCAGCGAAAUGCGAUAAGUAAUGUGAAUUGCAGAAUUCAGUGAAUCAUCGAAUCUUUGAACGCACAUUGCGCCCGCCAGUAUUCUGGCGGGCAUGCCUGUCCGAGCGUCAUUUCAACCCUCGAACCCCUCCGGGGGGUCGGCGUUGGGGACCUCGGGAGCCCCUAAGACGGGAUCCCGGCCCCGAAAUACAGUGGCGGUCUCGCCGCAGCCUCUCCUGCGCAGUAGUUUGCACAACUCGCACCGGGAGCGCGGCGCGUCCACGUCCGUAAAACACCCAACUUUCUGAAAUGUUGACCUCGGAUCAGGUAGGAAUACCCGCUGAACUUAAGCAUAUCAAA